UUUUAUCCUGUCACUUGUACUAGUUUUAAUAAAAUGCUGAUUGGCCAGUAGUCAGGCAGGAAGUAUAGGCAGGGCAACCAGGCAGGAAGUAGAUGUGGGGAGAUGAGAACAGGAGAAUUUAGGGAAAGGAAAGAUGCUGUCUGCAGUCGUCACCCAGACACAGAGGAAGCAAGAUGAGAAUGCCUCGCUGAUGAAAGGUACCAAGCCACAUGGCUAACACAGACAAGAGUUAUGGGCUAAUAUAAGAUUAAUGUAGACCUCUGUUUUUCUUUGGGACUGAAUGACUGUGGGUCCAGGUGGGACAGAAACCUCAGCCAACACUGAUGCCCUCUAUGUAGACCAGGCUGGCCUCAAACUCAGAGAUCCAGCUGUCUCUACCUCUCAAGUUUCUUUCUUAAUGGCCCUUGCCAGCUAUUUCUCUCUCCUGAAGACUGCUGUCCUGCCAACCAGCCAACCUAAUAUAUACUAGAUCUUAACAAUGAGCUUCCUGGAUACGAAGGACCUUACAAUAUUUAAUAAAUAACAUAUGGCCUUUGUAUGCUGAUUGGCCAACAACAGGGGGACCAUGUUGUGAAUGAGAGGUCCUAGAAAUAGACUGGAUUUGCUUAUUGAGACUGAUGGACUGAUUAGAACCACAACAGUGUGGAAAGGUUCGAAUAUUGCAGGUAAAAAUGUUAAUUAUGUUAUCUCCAGGUUGCCUUAGCCUCCUGAACUACCAGUCCUUGCCUGCCUCUAACAUCAGGACUAACAUCUCGUGAAGACAGAUAAACCCCUUUUGAAAUCUAUUAACUGAGCAGAUGACUAGCUGCCACCGACUCAGAAGCCUGACAAUGUCAUCGGAUAACAUCUUAGGCCUGCAGCAAGGCUUCUGCCAUCUUGUGGUACCCACCUCUCUGAUAGACCCACCCAUGUGUUUUAAACUUGUCUUCUUAUGACUCUCUUUGUUCUACAAAACUAUGAACUUUCAGGAAGCUACUUUCACAUGGAGACGUGGAAUUUGGGGUAACCUAAAUCUAUGUAGCUGGACCACAGCCACUGAAAAUGGUUCCAGAACAAACUAUGUCUUAUUCCCUUUAGGAAAACAGCUGUUUGCUGUGUGGACAGAACAAGAGGUCUGUGCUGUCUGCGAAGUGCAGGAACCAGUCAACGAGGGCCUGAGCUGGGCACAGCAGCUGAAGCUUUGUUACAUGGCAUCUCAGGCUGGUGCCACAGAUAGGUUCUCCCGGAAACACCUGGACUCUUCGGAACAGUCCCAAGCAUCUCCAGCAGCCUAGCAAAUACCAUUUCCUGUUGCCUCCAAGAUGCAGGGCUCUCAGCUACCUCUCCAGCACUAUGUCUGUCUGCAUGCUGCCAUGUCCAUGAUGAUAAUGGACUGAACCUCUGAAGUGUUUCCUAUGCUCAGGAUACCACCCAGCAUCCCAACUGACUUGAUGUUGCCUACAUGUCUGCAAGACAGAAGACUCUCAGCUACUUCUCCAGCACCAUGUCUGUCUGCAUGCCGCCAUACUGCCUGCCCUGAUGAUGACGAAUUUAGUGUCUGAAUUUGUUGAAAUGAAACAGCCAUGCCCUGACGUUUUCUGUGUCAACUCCAGACAUUCUGCACACCAGACCCACAGAGAUUGGUUUGUGUGUAAGAGGAAGCCCUGCUAGGAAGGCCACAGGGCAGGCAGGCGGGCAUCCCGAGUGCCUGCGUUUCUGCCAUGGGCCAUGAUUGGUCUUUGGGAGCAUUCAAAAUAAGGAAUCCUGCUUUGAGGUUUUGUUUUAUAAUAAUAAAGAUAUAUUUUUUUAAAGUGCCUUAAGGACUUCUAGUUCCGCCUAGACCAAAGGAAGACCCAAGCAGGGCCAGUGAGUGAGUGGUGAUACUGUAGCAUGUUUAUAGGAGCAUGUCACCAGGA
Molecule: long non-coding RNA, 1895 nt
Organism: Chionomys nivalis (European snow vole)
Lineage: Eukaryota; Metazoa; Chordata; Mammalia; Rodentia; Cricetidae
Exons: 4
Source: RefSeq, a predicted model, not a curated record